Solanum tuberosum (potato) is the source of this 3254-nucleotide RNA transcript. RefSeq lists it as uncharacterized. The record is from RefSeq and is a predicted model, not a curated record. Lineage: Eukaryota; Viridiplantae; Streptophyta; Magnoliopsida; Solanales; Solanaceae. The transcript has 3 exons.
UGAAGACUAGGUGAUUUCUUGCUAUUUGUCUUAGUCUUGAUGGUGAGAGUUAACUGGUGCUUGUUGCUUGUGUUAUUUGUUAGACAAGAACACUAGUGAUUUCUUGCUAUUUGUUUUAGUCUUGGUGGAUAGAGUUACACGGUGCUUGUUGCUUGUGUGUGUUGUUAGACAAAGACGCUAGUGAUUUCUUGUUAUCUAUUCUAGCUUUGAUGGAUAGAGUUACCUGAUGCUUGUUGCUUGUAUGAGUUGUUUACAAAAAUAUUACUGAUUUCUUGUUAUCUGUUCUUUGAUGGACAAAUUUACUUGAUGCUUGUUGUUUGUGUGAGUUGUUAGACAAAAACACUAGUGAUUUCUUGCUAUCUGUCUUAGUCAUAGAGUUACCUGGUGUUUGUUGCUUGUGUGAGGUAUUAAGUAUCUUGUAGAACUAGUUGACAUGCUUGAAAGUUGGCAUGGACACUACGAUUAUCAAAAGAGAUAAUAUAGAGACCCAUUUGUUCCUAGCAUGCAUUGUUAAAAGUAGAAUAUUGGUGUCUCAUUAUGGUUGUUUAAUUUUAUUUAAUUUGGAGGUUGAAAAUUAGGGUGGAAGUUUAGUAGGUAGUUGAGAAUUUACUAGUUUUUCUUAUAAGUUUAUUAUUAUUACUCUCAUACUAUCUUAUUUUUUUAUUUGAUUAUUACUUGUUAUUUCCUUUGCUUCGGCUAUCUAUUUGUUGUUUCUAUUGUUUUGUUCUCCUGUAUUUUUGACUUAGCUUCCUCACUGCUGUAUUUCCUUUUGAUAACUAAUUUGAUAUGUUUUAUUCAAACCAGGGGUCUAUAGCAAACAGCCUUUCCCCAAGGGAGGGGUAAGCUGUAUAUACACUACCCUCCCUAUAUCCCAAUCGUGUGAUUACACUAGGUAUGUUUUUGUUGUUUUCAAGUAUUAGUUCGGAUACAUUUCAUUUUUUCCCUAUGCAAGCUGAUUGCCAGUCAUUAUGUAAAUACCUAUUUGCUCUAGUAUGCGUUGUUAAGUAGUAAUAUUGUGGUGUCUCAUAAAGGUUAUUUAAGUUUCAUUGCGUUUGUUUUCAAGUAGUGGUUUGAUAAUUUUGAUUUUUUUCACCUGUUGAAGCCGAUUGACCUAUAGAAUAUGAGUAAAAAGAGUAGAAAGAGACUUAUGCUAUGCUGGUUUUGUUCAGCGGAAUGGAUUACUUCUAUGAGCUUUAUCAGUUUUUUGGAAUUUGGAUAUUAUGAGGUUACAUCUCUGUUGUGAUGGACACUAGAUGUUCUUUUUGUUUUUGUUUCUUUUAACAAUGGUAUUUAGAGGUUCCUCAACUAACAAUGGUAUUGAUUAGCUUUGUCCCCAAACAUUUAGGUUGAUGGAAAGAAUUUACUUAGUUUUGCAUAUGUUAUGAUUAGGAUUGGAACCUUGAUUCCCUAGAUUGUUAAAAAGAGGAAGGUUGAGGGACUUGUUCUUCGGUCACAGAUUCGAUCCCUGUGCCAAGUGAACUAACUACUAAGUCCUGUAAUUAAGUUGAGAAGGAUAGAGACUAGAGGGGAAAAUCCAUCAUCCCUGAGUUUAGAAGGCUAUGUUGUUGGCCCAAAGGGCUGGUUUCUUGUAAAAUUCACAGUCAUAAAAGAAAAAAUUUAAAAUGGCUCUUGGACUUCUAGGCCACCUUAUUGGGACAGGUUUGAUAGAUGUAUUGGGAAAAAGAGAACACCAUUGGAUCACAUGUAUAUUAUAUUCAAAUUUUCCCAACUUAGGAUCCUAAAAGAAUGUGCAGUAAGAGUUAUAUGAGGGAUCCAAGCAAGUAUGAUAUUGAACAUUUCUUCAAGAUAAUAGCUGCUCCUUCAUGUGAAUCUUAUUUGAAGCAAAUGAAUAUCUAAAGGGAGAACAUUAAAAGUUAUGAAAAUGUUAUUUCUUAUGUGAGAAUGGUAGUUUUGGCUCUUUUUAGAAGGUCAGGGGAAGGUGAGAUUGUACGCAUCCCUACUUUUGUACUAUUGAACUAAAGUGGGUAUAUCUGUUACCUGUCAUGCAACUUUCAACUGCUGAACAGUGUCAUUAGGAAGUACUCAGAGCUUGAGCAGUCAAAUUAUUACUUUACCAGUUACCACAAGCUUUGUUAUUGGGCUUUGCUUUACUCUGAUGGGUCUCUUAAGUAUGAGAAGGCUCUGGCUGUGUACCCUCAAGUAUGAGAAGGCUCUGGCUGUGUACCCUCAAGUAUGAGAAGGCUCUGGCUGUGUACCCUCAAGUAUGAGAAGGCUCUGGCUGUGUACCCUCAAGUAUGAGAAGGCUCUGGCUGUGUACCCUCAAGUAUGAGAAGGCUCUGGCUGUGUACCCUCAAGUAUGAGAAGGCUCUGGCUGUGUACCCUCAAGUAUGAGAAGGCUCUGGCUGUGUACCCUCAAGUAUGAGAAGGCUCUGGCUGUGUACCCUCAAGUAUGAGAAGGCUCUGGCUGUGUACCCUCAAGUAUGAGAAGGCUCUGGCUGUGUACCCUCAAGUAUGAGAAGGCUCUGGCUGUGUACCCUCAAGUAUGAGAAGGCUCUGGCUGUGUACCCUCAAGUAUGAGAAGGCUCUGGCUGUGUACCCUCAAGUAUGAGAAGGCUCUGGCUGUGUACCCUCAAGUAUGAGAAGGCUCUGGCUGUGUACCCUCAAGUAUGAGAAGGCCUGGCUGUGUACCCUUAAAGUAUGAGAAGGCUCUGGCUGUGUACCCUCAAGUAUGAGAAGGCUCUGGCUGUGUACCCUAAGAGACAGACAAGAAAAGUUGGAGCGAGUGCUUGCAUUCUAUAAAUCUUCUAAAGGAAGUCCAUUCCAAGAAACUAGCACUCACGUAAGAGGAGAAUUUGAUGCUGUGGGUGCACUGUUGAUGAUCGGUACCAUUGAUGUAUCCAAGUGCAAUGCAAUUGAAAGAGCAAUUAGGACUGGUAUUGAUUCUAGGCUGACUUUUGAAACAACUAUCCGUGAAAAGGAUACACUUGUAGCAGAGUUUGUUGGCAGCAUAAGAGGCCAGAAGUGUAUCCUGGGUAGUUCACUUUCCUUAGCAAAAGUUCUUUAUGCAGCAAAUAUCAGUGAUUGGUGUUCUGCAGUUGCCAUUCCAGUCGGUGUCGAUGCAGAGAUAUUGCAGUACCUACAAGUUCACGUGAGGAAAGGGGGAUGACUGACUAUUCAUCUUUUGGGCCGCCCCUGCUGAAUCAACUAAAUGGUAGUGGAAUCGCUGUGAUGGUUAAAAAAUCAAAUAUUGUUGCCUGCUUGGCUCAGUUUGUCUCUGCAUUGCCACACUCUGG